GACGAACGCUGGCGGCGUGCUUAACACAUGCAAGUCGAACGUGAAUUUUGUGGAAAUUCUUUCGGGAAUGGAAAUGAAAUGAAAGUGGCGAACGGGUGAGUAACACGUGAGCAACCUACCUUACACAGGGGGAUAGCCGUUGGAAACGACGAUUAAUACCGCAUGAGACCACAGAAUCGCAUGAUAUAGGGGUCAAAGAUUUAUCGGUGUAAGAAGGGCUCGCGUCUGAUUAGCUAGGUGGAAGGGUAAAGGACUACCAAGGCGAGGAUCAGUAGCCGGUCUGAGAGGAUGAACGGCCACAUUUGAACUGGGACACGGUCCAAACUCCUACGGGAGGGAGGAGAGGGGGAUAUAGCACAAUGGGGGGAACCCUGAUGCAGCGACGCCGCGUGAGCGAAGAAGGUUUUCGAAACGUAAAGCUCUGGCCUAUGAGAAGAUAAUGACGGUAUCAUAGGAGGAAGCCCCGGCUAAAUACGUG
Molecule: ribosomal RNA, 478 nt
Filed under: uncultured bacterium
Lineage: Bacteria
Description: partial 16S ribosomal RNA
Rfam family: Bacterial small subunit ribosomal RNA
Source: RNAcentral